This 2286-nucleotide long non-coding RNA is filed under the name Lactuca sativa (garden lettuce). RNAcentral's name for it is "long non-coding RNA (LSAT_LNC004967)". Lineage: Eukaryota; Viridiplantae; Streptophyta; Magnoliopsida; Asterales; Asteraceae. The record is from RNAcentral.
UCAUUACCAUAUCAACAAAAUCAGAUUUUAUGAACUAAAAUAUUUUUUGGUAAUGAUUCUAAUCCAAAACAGGCCAAAAAACUCGCAAAAUUGUUGUCUGGUCAGGCAUCACGUCGAGCCCCAUACUGGACUCGACGAGUCCAAGGUAAACUUCAACCUACUCGUCAAGUACAAGAAUGGACUCGCCACGAAACUUAUGCGAAGGGUGAAGGAAUGCAUGAGCUUGUGCAUGGAAGUCUAAAUGCGGUAAGUGUGAACGGAAUCGCCACUCUCGCAAAGAAUGCACCCUAGAAGUAGAAUUGUGUCAUCAUUGUCAUCAGCUUGUCAUCAGCCUACUCAUAUCAUGGCAGAUUUCUAGCGUUUAGCGGUUGGGGUGGCUCAGGUUGAUUUGCGAGUGCUUCUACAGGGAGGGGGAGCAGAACCCUAAGACACUACGGGUAUGUAUCAUAUUCUUCUCUUUUACGCUUAAAUCAUUAUGCUAAUAAUUCCAUAACUUGAGGACAAGUUAUGGAUUUCACCAAAAUCAAUUAAUUCAAAAAUUCUGACUAAAAAGUCAAACAAUUUGCCUAUGAUCUAAUUUAAAUCAUAAGAUAAGAUAAUUCAUAUCAAACAAGUUUCUAGAAAUUAGCCUAACCAUAUAAACUAAUACAAUUCAUGAAACUUUGACAAUUAUCUUUUAUUUGGAUGAUAAUCAUCAUUACCAUAUCAAGAAAAUCAGAUUUUAUGAACUAAAAUAUUUUUUGGUAAUGAUUCUAAUCCAAAACAGGCCAAAAAACUCGAAAAACUGUUGUCUGGACAGGCAACUCGCCGAGCCCCAUACUGGACUCGACGAGUCCAAGGUAAACUUCAACCUACUCGUCAAGUACAAGAAUGGACUCGCCACGAAACUUAUGCGAAGGGUGAAGGAAUGCAUGAGCUUGUGCAUGGAAGUCUAAAUGCGGUAAGUGUGAACGGAAUCGCCACUCUCGCAAAGAAUGCACCCUAGAAGUAGAAUUGUGUCAUCAUUGUCAUCAGCUUUCAUCAGCCUACUCAUAUCAUGGCAGAUUUCUAGCGAUUAGUGGUUGGGGUGGCUCAGGUUGAAUUGCGAGUGCUUCUACAGGGAGGGGGAGCAGAACCCUACGACACUACAGGUAUGUAUCAUAUUCUUCUCUUUUUCGCUUAAAUCAUUAUGCUAAUAAUUCCAUAACUUGAGGACAAGUUAUGGAUUCCACCAAAAUCAAUUAGAUCAAAAAUUCUAACUAAAAAAUCAAACAAUUUGCCUAUGAUCUAAUUAAACUCAUAAGAUAAGAUAAUUCAUAUCAAACAAGUUUCAAGAAAUUAGCCUAACCAUAUAAACUAAUACAAAUCAUGAAACUUUGACAAUUAUCUUUUGUUUGGAUGAUAAUCAUCAUUACCAUAUCAACAAAAUCAGAUUUUAUGAAUUAAAAUAUUUUUCGGUAAUGAUUAUAAUCCAAAAGAGGCCAAAAAACACGCAAAAUUGUUGUCUGGUCAGGCAUCACGUCGAGCCCCAUACUGGACUCGACGAGUCCAAGGUCAACUUCAACUUACUCAUCAAGUACAAGAAUGGACUCGCCACGAAACUUAUGCGAAGGGUGAAGGAAUGCAUGAGCUUGUGCAUGGAAGUCUAAAUGCGGUAAGUGUGAACGGAAUCGCCACUCUCGCAAAGAAUGCACCCUAGAAGUAGAAUUGUGUCAUCAUUGUCAUCAGCUUGUCAUCAGCCUACUCAUAUCAUGGCAGAUUUCUAGCGUUUAGCGGUUGGGGUGGCUCAGGUUGAUUUGCGAGUGCUUCUACAGGGAGGGGGAGCAGAACCCUAAGACACUACGGGUAUGUAUCAUAUUCUUCUCUUUUACGCUUAAAUCAUUAUGCUAAUAAUUCCAUAACUUGAGGACAAGUUAUGGAUUUCACCAAAAUCAAUUAAUUCAAAAAUUCUGACUAAAAAGUCAAACAAUUUGCCUAUGAUCUAAUUUAAAUCAUAAGAUAAGAUAAUUCAUAUCAAACAAGUUUCUAGAAAUUAGCCUAACCAUAUAAACUAAUACAAUUCAUGAAACUUUGACAAUUAUCUUUUAUUUGGAUGAUAAUCAUCAUUACCAUAUCAAGAAAAUCAGAUUUUAUGAACUAAAAUAUUUUUUGGUAAUGAUUCUAAUCCAAAACAGGCCAAAAAACUCGAAAAACUGUUGUCUGGACAGGCAACUCGCCGAGCCCCAUACUGGACUCGACGAGUCCAAGGUAAACUUCAACCUACUCGUCAAGUACAAGAAUGGACUCGCCACGAAACUUAUGCGAAGG